Molecule: RNA transcript, 379 nt
Organism: Zea mays
Lineage: Eukaryota; Viridiplantae; Streptophyta; Magnoliopsida; Poales; Poaceae
Exons: 3
Source: RefSeq, marked validated
GCUGAGCCACCACCAGUCCUCCGUUCCCGAGCUGGUUCGUCGCCGCCGUCCGUCGUCCUGCUGUUGCAGCACCUCCGGAGGCAAGCCGAGCCGCAGAGCCGAUCCCGGAGGACGACCAGCUAGAGCCUGCUGACCAGGAGCCUGACGUCGAGGAGGAGUACGUGAGUGAAGAGGAUCCUGACUUUGUGCCCGAUGAGUAGCGCGUUCCUACACCCAAGUCCCCUGUGGUGCCAUUGUGUUGUAGCAGACGCCAUGUCCGAUGAGGAGCUCGCAGUCGCGUUCUUCGCCACCACUAUUUUAUUUCUAGUUUCUAUUAUCGUAUUAUUAGAAUGUACUAAAUAAAAGCCUUGUAUUUUAUGGCACCACUUGAGCAUUUUAC